Long non-coding RNA from Brassica napus (rape), 615 nucleotides. RefSeq lists it as uncharacterized. The record is from RefSeq and is a predicted model, not a curated record. Lineage: Eukaryota; Viridiplantae; Streptophyta; Magnoliopsida; Brassicales; Brassicaceae. The transcript is spliced from 2 exons.
GAGGAUUGGGUUUGAGAAGAAUAGAUGUCGCUGAAGUCAUUGUCGGGACUUGGGGAAAGCUGUAAAAUUGUUCAUCAAUAAAACCAUUUACAUUAUAUAUUUUGAUGCACUUAGUGAUUUGUUUGGUCGUUGACGAACCUAACGGAUAAAUACGGAAAGAUUUGCAACAACGGUCGCCGGAAUCAGAUAUGAAAUCCAGUGAUUUUUGCCAGAGCUUUCAUCAUAGAAAAUAGAUCAAAUGCAAAACCAUGAGAAGUAGCUUGGAGUAAAGAAAAAAAAAAGGAUGAAUUAGAGAGAGAAGAGAUGAAGACAAGCGUUAGGAUAACAAAACAGAUACCCAAAACCGAAUCAAUUAGAAUUAGUGAUUAUGUAUUUCUUUGUUUUCUAAGUUAUACGGAUAUACAAAUUUCACUAAAAUGGACAUAUUCAAGGUUUUAAAAAGCACAGCUUACUUUACGCCUGCAAUGGUGUUAACUGUCUGAUAAUUUCCCAAGUAAAGAUCAUGAGUAGUUGAUUUUGGAGAAAAAACAUCUGUAGUCGUUAUUGUGAAUCCAAUGAGAAUUGUUAAUCCAAUUGUUUCGUGAUUGUUAUGAAACUCUGGUCAGGCUUUUUCAA